This 485-nucleotide ribosomal RNA is filed under the name uncultured Gammaproteobacteria bacterium. Its description in RNAcentral is "bacterial SSU rRNA". It matches the Rfam family "Bacterial small subunit ribosomal RNA", at positions 46 to 526 of the family's 1533-position model. Lineage: Bacteria; Pseudomonadati; Pseudomonadota; Gammaproteobacteria. The record is from RNAcentral.
GCCUAACACAUGCAAGUCGAGCGGAUGACGGGAGCUUGCUCCUUGAUUCAGCGGCGGACGGGUGAGUAAUGCCUAGGAAUCUGCCUGGUAGUGGGGGACAACGUUUCGAAAGGAACGCUAAUACCGCAUACGUCCUACGGGAGAAAGCAGGGGACCUUCGGGCCUUGCGCUAUCAGAUGAGCCUAGGUCGGAUUAGCUAGUUGGUGGGGUAAUGGCUCACCAAGGCGACGAUCCGUAACUGGUCUGAGAGGAUGAUCAGUCACACUGGAACUGAGACACGGUCCAGACUCCUACGGGAGGCAGCAGUGGGGAAUAUUGGACAAUGGGCGAAAGCCUGAUCCAGCCAUGCCGCGUGUGUGAAGAAGGUCUUCGGAUUGUAAAGCACUUUAAGUUGGGAGGAAGGGCAGUAAGUUAAUACCUUGCUGUUUUGACGUUACCGACAGAAUAAGCACCGGCUAACUCUGUGCCAGCAGCCGCGGUAAUAC